GCGCCUGUUUUGGGCAGAUGGAGGUCGAAGACCCCGUGCCCACCGCAUUUUCCGCAUCCCCGAGAACGGGCGAUCGAUCGAGGGCCGCGACGACAGCCGAAGGAGCGCUGCCGCGGAACACGAAAGCCGCCUUGAGGUUCACCCGAGGCCGCACCGUGCGAACGGGAAGCCCCUGGGCGAACGGGACAAGUUUCGACAAACGAAUUCCUUC
This 211-nucleotide unclassified non-coding RNA is filed under the name Declieuxia saturejoides. RNAcentral's name for it is "partial external transcribed spacer". The record is from RNAcentral. Lineage: Eukaryota; Viridiplantae; Streptophyta; Magnoliopsida; Gentianales; Rubiaceae.